RNAcentral lists this ribosomal RNA (406 nucleotides) under uncultured bacterium. RNAcentral describes it as "bacterial SSU rRNA". It matches the Rfam family "Bacterial small subunit ribosomal RNA", at positions 354 to 777 of the family's 1533-position model. The record is from RNAcentral.
GUGGGGAAUAUUGCACAAUGGGGGAAACCCUGAUGCAGCGACGCCGCGUGAGGGAAGAAGGUUUUCGGAUUGUAAACCUCUGUCCUUGGUGACGAAAGAAGACGGUAGCCAAGGAGGAAGCCACGGCUAACUACGUGCCAGCAGCCGCGGUAAUACGUAGGUGGCAAGCGUUGUCCGGAAUUACUGGGUGUAAAGGGAGCGUAGGCGGGAGGAUAAGUUGGACGUAUAAACUAUCGGCUCAACCGGUAGAGGCGUUCAAAACUGUCCUUCUUGAGUGAAGUAGAGGUAAGCGGAAUUCCUAGUGUAGCGGUGAAAUGCGUAAAUAUUAGGAGGAACACCAGUGGCGAAGGCGGCUUACUGGGCUUUAACUGACGCUGAGGCUCGAAAGCGUGGGUAGCAAACAGGA